AUGCAGUCGAACGAUGAACCACUUCGGUGGGGAUUAGUGGCGAACGGGUGAGUAACACGUGGGCAAUCUGCCCUGCACUCUGGGACAAGCCCUGGAAACGGGGUCUAAUACCGGAUACUGACCCGCUUGGGCAUCCAAGCGGUUCGAAAGCUCCGGCGGUGCAGGAUGAGCCCGCGGCCUAUCAGCUUGUUGGUGAGGUAAUGGCUCACCAAGGCGACGACGGGUAGCCGGCCUGAGAGGGCGACCGGCCACACUGGGACUGAGACACGGCCCAGACUCCUACGGGAGGCAGCAGUGGGGAAUAUUGCACAAUGGGCGAAAGCCUGAUGCAGCGACGCCGCGUGAGGGAUGACGGCCUUCGGGUUGUAAACCUCUUUCAGCAGGGAAGAAGCGAAAGUGACGGUACCUGCAGAAGAAGCGCCGGCUAACUACGUGCCAGCAGCCGCGGUAAUACGUAGGGCGCGAGCGUUGUCCGGAAUUAUUGGGCGUAAAGAGCUCGUAGGCGGCUUGUCACGUCGGUUGUGAAAGCCCGGGGCUUAACCCCGGGUCUGCAGUCGAUACGGGCAGGCUAGAGUUCGGUAGGGGAGAUCGGGAAUUCCUGGUGUAGCGGUGAAAUGCGCAGAUAUCAUGAGGAACACCGGUGGGCGAAGGCGGAUCUCUGGGCCGAUACUGACGCUGAGGAGCGAAAAGCGUGGGGAGCGAACAGGAUUAGAUACCCUGGUAGUCCACGCCCGUAAACGGUGGGCACUAGGUGUGGGCGGCAUUCCACGUUCUUCCGUGCCGCAACUAACGCAUUAAGGGCCCGCCUGGGGAGUACGGCCGCAGCUAAAACUCAAGGAUGUGACGGG
Molecule: ribosomal RNA, 848 nt
Filed under: Streptomyces sp. 286(2010)
Lineage: Bacteria; Bacillati; Actinomycetota; Actinomycetes; Kitasatosporales; Streptomycetaceae
Description: bacterial SSU rRNA
Rfam family: Bacterial small subunit ribosomal RNA
Source: RNAcentral